Molecule: ribosomal RNA, 274 nt
Filed under: uncultured bacterium
Lineage: Bacteria
Description: partial 16S ribosomal RNA
Rfam family: Bacterial small subunit ribosomal RNA
Source: RNAcentral
AUACGAAGGUCCCAAGCGUUAUUCGGAAUCACUGGGCGUAAAGAGUACGUAGGCGGUUUGGUAAGUCAGGUGUGAAAUCCCGGAGCUCAACUCCGGAACUGCAUCCGAUACUGCCAGGCUUGAGUAAUGGAGAGGCAGGUGGAAUUCUCGGUGUAGCAGUGAAAUGCGUGGAUAUCGAGAGGAAGACCAAUGGCGAAGGCAGCCUGCUGGACAUUUACUGACGCUGAGGUACGAAGGCUAGGGGAGCGAAAGGGAUUAGAAACCCCAGUAGUCC